This 290-nucleotide ribosomal RNA is filed under the name uncultured bacterium. RNAcentral's name for it is "partial 16S ribosomal RNA". It matches the Rfam family "Bacterial small subunit ribosomal RNA", at positions 44 to 334 of the family's 1533-position model. The record is from RNAcentral.
GUGCCUAACACAUGCAAGUCGAACGAGAAAGCGGGGGCAACUCCGUGAGUAAAGUGGCGUACGGGUGAGUAACACGUAGCUAACCUACCCUCGAGUGAGGAAUAACCUGGGGAAACUCGGGCUAAUACCCCAUAACAUCCCGAGCAAUCGGGAGCAAAGGUCCGCAAGGGCCGCUUGAGGAGGGGGCUGCGGCCGAUUAGCUAGUUGGUGAGGUAACGGCCCACCAAGGCGAUGAUCGGUAGCCGGCCUGAGAGGGCGCACGGCCACACUGGCACUUAAACACGGGCCAG